UAACGCGUGGAGAAGCUGGUCUCGGAGCAGCAGUGCGGGGGUUCAGCUGACUUUAAAGAGGACAGCUGACCUCUGACUCCUUCAGGCCAACUGCAGAAUUCUUCAUGAGGUGGAUUUCACGCUUGAGAGACACAUUGUGCUACAGGUGUUAAGGCCAAAUAAAUUCCCAGGGGGGCGCUGUGCACACCUUAACGUCCGGGUGGAGGCACUAAGUGGUUAAUUAAGUGGAAUGGAAGAGGAUGAAGACAUAAUUCAAACUUUACUUUAAGAUAAUAUACUUAAGUGUGAUGUUUUUGUGCAUUUUUAUUAUUAUUUGUGCAUCUUAGAUUUUUCUUUAGCCUAAUUUAGCAAAUCAUAUCACAUUCAGUUCAUGGGUUAAUCAGUGGCAGUCUGAAAGGGCUGCCACUUGUGGUUAACAGUGCUUUUAGUUACCUUAGGACGUAGGAUUGCUUUCGUUUGUUUAUUAACAGCUUUGUUUAAAAGUUUGGUACUGAUCUUGAGGAAGACUUUACCAGA
Molecule: long non-coding RNA, 516 nt
Organism: Pundamilia nyererei
Lineage: Eukaryota; Metazoa; Chordata; Actinopteri; Cichliformes; Cichlidae
Exons: 3
Source: RefSeq, a predicted model, not a curated record